Molecule: long non-coding RNA, 2647 nt
Filed under: Equus asinus (donkey)
Lineage: Eukaryota; Metazoa; Chordata; Mammalia; Perissodactyla; Equidae
Description: lncRNA (ENSEASG00005031312.1)
Source: RNAcentral
UUCGGGCUGGUAUGAGUGGCUUUCUUUGUGGCAGUUGAUGUCUGGAAGCUCAGAUGGGAGGAGAGAGAGCAGGACCUACAGACCAGAAGAGAAUCACCCAGGAAGAGAUCAGAGAGAGAGAGGGCAGCCCUGUGAGUCCCUGAGAAUUUCAUAGCAGAGCUUCUCAGUCCUGCUUCUGAAUGUGCUUGUCAUUGGGGAAUUGAAGUAUAUUUCUAAAAAGACCGAAUCGUGGUGAUUAUUCUGUGGCCCAGAUCCCAGCUUCAUGGAUUCAGGGACACCUGUCUUAGAAGUAGCCUUAGCUCCAGGUAGCUGGAAUCAGGGCAUGGUGAGUGGUCCCUGUGACCAACCUCAAGAAGCAAGAACAGGAGCCCUGAGGAGUAGGUAAGCACCUCCAUGAUGUGAUGCUGCCAACUCUCCUCCUCUUCCAGUUAAGGCAGGGGAAUUUUCCUUUUCCUAAGAAGGACUACUUGGUACCUGAGAAUGGGAUGUAGCUUCUAGACAGUCCUUAAGAAUGGGCUUGGGUGCGGCCCCGUAAUUCUCUCCAGUCACGUAAGCCUGGUUGGUUGAUUUAUACAGGAAAGAUUGACUGUUACAGCUCUGUGUCCCAUCGACAGUUACCCAGCAUCAUCUCUGGGCUUUCUGACACCUCUGGGAAUGUCUAUGGAGAGUGAUCAUGGCAUUUUUCCUAAUGGCCUAUGAUUUUCUGCUGUGAUAACUGUGUUUAGGAGAAAAUUCUUAAGAUUCAUUGGUGCCUCUCAGAGCAGUAAUUUGACCAUGAAGGUCCCAUGGGGCAGGAUCCUGCCCCCAGCCUCUUACUGACAGGCUUCUUUUUCUCCUUCCUGCAAAUCAGAGUCCCUGCCCAGAAGGGAUCCUGCAACACUGCCACCUGUGUGACCCAAUGGCUGGCAGGCUUGCUGAGCAGUUCUGGGGGUGGGGUGAAGAGCAACUUCCUGCCCACCGAUGUGGGCUCCAAAACAUGAAAGACUCCAUAGGGCAGGCUUCUGCCCCCAGGCUCUUACUGACAGGCCUCUUUUUCUCUUUUCUGCAAAUCAGCUUAACUGAGGAGAAGAGCAACUUUGUGCCCACCAACGUGGCCCCUAAAUCCUCUGGCCGUCGCCGCAGGGACCUUCAGGCCUGAGCAAUGAAAUGGCUUCAGGAAGAAGAUCCUAGAAACUGAACUCUACUUCCUUUAAUUUUUAGUGAAAGAAAUGUGUAGGACAAGGAGCAUGGAAGACACACCUAUGUGCACACUUCUAGAUAUUGAAAUCACUCUUUUGGUUUGAAAUAAACUAGAUCUAAAUGCAGAAUAAACUCAUGGCAGUCAUCUAGUGUGCAUCUUUUUAUAUUGGAUUUGUCAUCAAUAUGUAUGAUAGCAUGUCUCAUUGGUUUAUCUGGUAGCAAAUCUGGGCCCCAUAAACCAGCUCGUUGAUUAUAUAAUAUAAAAUUAUGCAUAUGAAUUAUAUUUCCAUGAGCUUUACGAAAAGUGUAUCAUAAAGCCUACGUGACCAUCACCACAAUAAAAGGUACAGAAUAUUUCCAACAUCCCAGAAUGUUCCUCAUGCCACUUUGAGGUCAAUAUCCCCCAGACCCCUGCCUCACACAAUCACUGAUGUGAUUUCUAUCACUGUGGAUUCAUUUUUCCGUAGAUAGAUGGUACGUACUCUUUUAUCUAACUUCUUUCACUCGGCGUAAUGUUUGGGUGAUUUAUUUAUAUUGUUGCAUAUAUCCGUAUAUCAUUAUUUGGGGAAUUAAUUAGGUGUUAAUUCUCAAGAAUUUGGGAGAAAGAGUUAAGUAAUAUUCCAUUGUAUGCCAAAAUUUGUUGAAUGAACACAGUUUUGGUUAUUCCAUAUGACAUUCUUAUGAACCUUCACGUACAAGUAUUUCUGUGAACAGCUGAAGUCAUUUCUCUUGGAUAAAUAGCUAGAAAUUGUAUGGUGAGUGUCUGUAUAACUAAACUGACUAUGCCAAUUUAUAAAUGGCUCUGCCAUUUUACACUAGCAGAAGUGUAUUGUGAUCGUUCAGCUUGCUCCAUACAUCGUAGCCAAUGCUUAGUAUUUUUAGUCUUUUAAUUUUUAGUCACUUUUAUGACUCCGUAACAAUAUCUCAUUGUGGGUUUUUUUAUUUCCCUAAUGACUACUGAUACAUGAGUAUGUACUCAUAUGCUUAUUGGCCUUUUGUUUGUCUUCUUUUGUGAAGUUCCUGUUCAACUAUUUUGCCAAUUUUAAUUCAGCACAUUAUCUUCUUAUUAUUCAGUACAGGAGAUCUUAAUAUAUUCUAGAUAUUAGUUCUACUUCCUCUUUGAGCACUAUUUCACUCACUCACAUUUCUCUCCCUCUUGAAUCACUUCCUCUUGGAAACCAGAUGACGUGAAGUGAGGCACUCGAGCUGGCUGUGGAAGGGACCAUGUCUCAAGAAAUGGAGGUGUCUGGCCAACAGCCAGCAAGAAAUGAAGGCCUGUCAGUAACCAAAUGAGUGAAUUUAGAAGUGGAUUCUCCAGCCCCAGUUGAGCCUGGAGAUGAGUGCAGACCCAGCUGAGAGCUGUGCUGCAACCUCAAGAGACACCCUGAGCCAGAACCACCCAGCUGAGCCUCUCCCACAGAGCCUACCCUCAGAAUCUGUGUGACAUAAUAAAUAUUGGUUCUUCUGA